RNAcentral lists this ribosomal RNA (253 nucleotides) under uncultured bacterium. Its description in RNAcentral is "partial 16S ribosomal RNA". It matches the Rfam family "Bacterial small subunit ribosomal RNA", at positions 524 to 776 of the family's 1533-position model. The record is from RNAcentral.
UACGUAGGGUGCGAGCGUUGUCCGGAAUUACUGGGCGUAAAGAGUUCGUAGGCGGUUUGUCGCGUUGUUCGUGAAAACCUGAGGCUUAACCUCGGGCGUGCGGGCGAUACGGGCAGACUGGAGUGCUGCAGGGGAGACUGGAAUUCCUGGUGUAGCGGUGGAAUGCGCAGAUAUCAGGAGGAACACCGGUGGCGAAGGCGGGUCUCUGGGCAGUAACUGACGCUGAGGAGCGAAAGCAUGGGGAGCGAACAGG